This is a long non-coding RNA of Mirounga angustirostris (Northern elephant seal), 4889 nucleotides long. RefSeq lists it as uncharacterized. Lineage: Eukaryota; Metazoa; Chordata; Mammalia; Carnivora; Phocidae. The record is from RefSeq and is a predicted model, not a curated record. The transcript is spliced from 6 exons.
GCGUCGCCCAGGCGAUAGAGCAACCUCAGGCGUGGGGAGAGUUUAAGUCGUUGAAGUGCUAGAAAGCGUUUCGGGUCGCAAAGGAAGUACCUGUCAGUAUAGAGAAGUGUCCGCGGAAUCCAGGAAGUGAUGAGAUACCACAUUUUUUACAAACUGAAGGUUUGCAGCAACCCUGAGGCACACGAGUUCAUCGGCGCCAUUUUCCCAAUGUUUGUUCAUUUUUGGGUCUCUGGCUCAUCUUGUGAUAAUCCUUUGCAAUAGUUCAAACUUUCUCAUUGUUCUUGUAUCUGAAUUGCUGCAAACUCAUGAUAAAACUUUGACAGAUGAGUUUCUCAAGGAUGAGCAAAGAAAGUGGUUUCUUGAGAUGGAAUUGACUCCCGAUGAAGAUGCUACGAAGACUGUUGAGAUGACAACAGAGGAUGUAGAAUGUGACACGCACUUAGUCGAUAAAGCAGUGGCAGGAUUGCAGAGGCUUGACUCCCAAUUGUGAAAGAAGUUCUACCAUGGGUAAAAUAGUAUCAGACAGCAUCGCAUGCUACAGAGGAAUCAUUUGUAAAAGGAAGAGGCAAUGGAUGUGGCAGACUCCGUCGUGUUAUUUUGAGAAAUUUUGACAGCCACCCCAACCUUCGGCAAGCACCAUCCCGAUCAGUCAGCAGCCAUCAACACUGAGGCAAGACCCUCCACUAUCAAAGAGAUGAUGACUCACCAAAAGCUCAGAUGAUCAUUAGCACUUCUUAACAAUAAAGUAUUUUUAAUUAAGAGACACAGCGAAAGAGGGGAACACAAGCAGGGGGAGAGGGAGAAGCAGACUCCCUGCUGAGCAGGGAGCCCUACAUGAGGCUCGAUCCCAGGACCCUGGGAUCAUGACCUGAGCCGAAGGCAGACGCUCAACGACUGAGCCACCCAGGCGCCCCGAUGUGUAAGAAGUUGGAAAAAAGAAAUGAGAUCUGUUACCACAGCUGACGAAGAAGCCACCUGGUAGACAUGUUGGCUAGCAAAGGUGUCAUAAGAAUCAAGAGGGGCUCCCUACAGCCUGGGAUCCAUGAACCCCAGAUUAAGAAUCCCUCGAGGAAAAUCUUGCUGACAGAAAAUUCACAGUGGAGAAUAAAUGUCAGGGAAGCCUGGAUACCGUGGACACGUGAAGUGACCCAGGACCACUAGAUGGCAGCAGAGUCUCGACUAAACUGUCCACCAGCUUGGGCAUGAAGAUCAUUGGUAUUAAUAACAGGAACCUUGAGUUUGAAGGGGCAGGGCAAAAAUGGAAUUAAACAAAAGAUAAAGAAUACAGGGAGAUUGGUCAGCUGGAGACAAGAUCUUGAGCCCCAUGUAAAUGUAAACCAGAGAAGUGGCUAGACCUGAGCAAUGGGGGAGGCAGCAGGGCACUCCCAGGUUCAUUGACUAAACAUUUCAUACCUAUCCAUGUGGGUAGUCUCCCCUUGCUUUGAAACAUUCACUGCUCAGCUUCUUUUUUAAAAAUAUUUUAUUUAUUUAUUUGACAGAGAGAGAGAGCGUGCACAAGCAGGGGGAGCGGCAGGCAAAGGGAGAGGGAGAAGGAGACUCCCCGCUGAGCAGGGAGCCCGACGUGGGGCUCGAUCCCAGACCCUGGGAUCAUGACCUGAGCCUAAGGCAGAUGUCCAACCAACUGAGCCACCCAGGUGCCCCUGCUCUGCUUCUCUGAAGCACUUUCUAUUUAAGGGUUUGUUACUUAAUGCCAGUAAGCCUCCAGGAAUCCUUUGCUCUUAACUGCCUUGUCAAUCCCCAAUGAUAAAUAAAGUCAGCUCUCUUGUCUCUCUCCUUCUGGGCAGCCAGGUGCUCCUACAGAAAGUUGGCAGGGUCUCCACAUUACUCGACUCUCCAUCCAUAAUACAUAACCUCGGUGGUGACCUCAAGGCUGUUCACCAUUCUUCUAUAUGUCCUUAGUUAACUCCUUUGGGCAUUGCUCAUGGAACCAAUUCUAAUCCUGCUCCACUCCCUGAAAUUCCCAUACCACAUUUCAGCUCCCCAAUCUCACAUCCCCCUUUAUCUGAAGGACUGAGACCAUCUGUCCCAUCCUUCCACCGCAGUCCCCCUCUACUGUAGACCGAGCACAGGACCUACAGAGUCCUCUGCAGGACCUUUCUAGAGGUGGCUGGGAAGAUGUCAGAAAUGCCACCUUCUUCAAUGUGAAGUAAUAAAAAGAUAUCCUGCAUCUCAUCUCUGAAUCAAUGUACUUCUCUGAAAGAUACUUUACUGUUUUAGCUCAGGCUGCCAUAACAGAACAGGGCAGCCCAGCUGGCUUAAACAAUCUGCAUUCAUUUCUCACAGUUCUGGGGCCUGGGAGGUUCAAGAUCAAGGUGCCAGCCAAUUUGGUCGCUGGUGAGCACCUUCCUGGCUUGCAGAGAACCACCUUCUCUGACACCUUUACAGGGGUCUUUCCUCAGGCAUGUAUCUCUCUCUUCCUCUUCUCAUCAGGCUGCUGAUCCCAUCAGGAGGGCCUAACCCUGUGAACUAGCCUAAGCUCCAUCUCCAAACAGCGUCACGUUGGGGGUUAGGGUCUCAGCAUAUGAAUGUGGUGGGUGCACCAACGUUGAGCCCAGGACAGUUACAAAUGUUGAUGACUGGAGUGUUUCCUAACUCACAGGAAGAAGCCGGGGGUGGCAGCUUUGACAAAUCUUAUGUGCAAAGGCAAUGAUUGCAAACCCUUCACUAAAAAAUUAACACACUGACGUAAAAUAUAUCCUGUUCUGGCAAAUUUCAACUGAGCUUGUCCUAUUCAAUGAUUUCUGAUUCAUUUAUUCAGUCAUUCAGCUAAUAAAUACUUACUGACUUGAGCCGGCUCUCCUAACCACUGCAUCUUGCCAAAUGCAGAAAUGUUUGAUACAGCAUUUUUGUGGCAGAUAAAGAGUAUUUUAAAAGAGGAAUCAUUCAUCCAGAAUUUGUCAGAGUCACCCUCCAGCACUAUGGAAAGAGAGAGAAUCUGCUCUCUGGCUGGCAGGCAUAUGUCGGUGUGCUCAGCUGUGAGCUCAGAUGAAACAGUAAGUGCCUCGGGCUGAACUUUUUUAUUAUAAUCACUCCUGAUAUUCAAGUAGUUUUCAAAGGCUUUUGAUCUAAUGAAAACAUAACGUGUGGCCAGCAGAUACACACAUGUUCUAGUCCGCUCGGUGGGCACAUCUCGUAGAACAGUGAUGUAAAGAGAAUUCCAUCACAUGUAUCAGUUUGUUAUGAACUAGAUUAUUAUGGAUCACCCCCACACACACCCCGAUCACUCCUGAGUGAACUAACAAGAAUGAAUUUUAAAAUCUACAGUGCUGAAGACUUGACCUUGGCCUCAGAAUGAUCUCACCAAUAUGCUGGCUGGCAUCCUCUGAAGUUCAGCCUGAGCCUCCUUCUCUUAAAGCUACCACUCUUAACUUAAAGCCAUGUCCAUGUUAAACUGUAUUCACUGAGUUUAAUUAACACAUUGCUCUAACAUCAAUAAAUUAAUUUAUGGGAUCAUAAAUUGAAUUGUUUAAGAUGAAUUUAAUUAGUUUAAACUGUAUCAAUGGAUUGACGAUGUUUACCACAAACAAUUGGGUAUAAUAACAUAGGAAUAGAACAGCUCUAUCAAACAUUCAGCAGGGUUUCCAUGAGGACUAGGAUAAGACCUGUCCUGUGUGGUCAAACAUACAGAAUUGAGAACAACAGGUGGAAGAUAUAGGAAAGCACAUUUUCGCUUAGCAUAACAAAGACCUUUCUAGCACAAGAUUUCUCUGGAUACCCAUUGGGAAGAGCGAAUUCCUGGUCACGAGAGGCAGUUGGGCCCUGGCCAGCCUGUGGUGUCGAAGAUCUGGAAGACCCUCAAUGCCCCUAAGGCCCCGCUGACCCUGAUAGCCUGUGAUCUCCUAAAUCAGCCCUGUCAUUUCUGUCACAGCCCAGAGUGCACAACUGUACGAGAGCCUUGAGGCCCCCUCGCCUGCCAGUCCUCGCUCGGCUUCUCCGCGGAGGCAGGACGUGGCUCCAGGGACACACGCCUGCCCGGUUAUCAGCGCACCCAGAGCUCGUAGCCACCAGUGUGCGGCUUUUCUUCUAGUAGAUUCUCAAUGGAGGAUGUUGCAAGGCUGGUCAUUAUGAUAAGGCAAGUGUUUAAAAUUCUCGUCUGGACUCUUGGCUUCCAGCUUCCAGGUGGAACUGAAUUAAGGUAGGAGGCCUUAGGACACAAUGACAGCAGGAUUUCCCACUUUAGAAUAUUACCCGUUGGUUUAGAAAUAAGUCAAGCAAAGCUGAAAGACAGAAACUGCGCUCUUAAAGUUCUGGGAUCGAAGAAGAAAGGAGGAGAGGGAUUCAUUUUCCUGAGAUCAUUUGUUUUUUUCCCCUUUGAAAGCUCAAGCAAAAAUUAAGGAAAUUGAUUCACAGGUUCUAGGGCCUUUUACAACUAGCUUCAUAUUGUUGCCAGGAAGUAGAGAGUGCGGGGUCCAGGAAGAGCCUUUUCUGGAACGACAUAAUCCGAGGCAAGCAGUAGAGAGGGAACUUAAUUUUGGUGGAUAUGGAAAUAAUACUUCAGCAAGAGUUGUGGGUUCUAAAAUAUGGAAAGAGCCCAGAGGUGCAUCGACAGAGGAACGGAUAAAGAAGAUGUGGUACCUAUAUACAGUGGAACGUUACUCAGCCAUCAAAAAGAAUGAAAUCUUGUCAUUUGCAACAACAUGGAUGGAACUAAAGGGUAUUAUGCUAAGUGAAAUAAGUCAGUCAGAGAAAGACAAAUACCAUAUGAAUUCACUCACAUGUGGAAUCUAAGAAACAAAACAGAUGAACAUACGGGAAGGGAAGGAAAAAUAAAAUAAGAUGAAAACAGAGAGGGAGGCAAACCAUAAGAGACUCUUAACUCUAGGAAGCAAACUGAGGAUUGCUGGAGGGGAGGUGGGUGGAGGGAUGGG